AUUGAACGCUGGCGGCAUGCCUUACACAUGCAAGUCGAACGGCAGCACGGGUGCUUGCACCUGGUGGCGAGUGGCGAACGGGUGAGUAAUAUAUCGGAACGUACCUUAUCGUGGGGGAUAACGCAGCGAAAGCUGUGCUAAUACCGCAUACGCCCUGAGGGGGAAAGCGGGGGAUCGCAAGACCUCGCGCGAUUAGAGCGGCCGAUGCCUGAUUAGCUUGUUGGUGGGGUAAAAGCCCACCAAGGCGACGAUCAGUAGCUGGUCUGAGAGGACGAUCAGCCACACUGGGACUGAGGCACGGCCCAGACUCCUACGGGAGGCAGCAGUGGGGAAUUUUGGACAAUGGGGGCAACCCUGAUCCAGCAAUGCCGCGUGAGUGAAGAAGGCCUUCGGGUUGUAAAGCUCUUUUGUCAGGGAAGAAACACCGGCUCUAACACAGUCCGGGAAUGACGGUACCUGAAGAAUAAGCACCGGCUAACUACGUGCCAGCCGCCGCCGUAA
RNAcentral lists this ribosomal RNA (501 nucleotides) under uncultured bacterium. RNAcentral describes it as "partial 16S ribosomal RNA". It matches the Rfam family "Bacterial small subunit ribosomal RNA", at positions 30 to 523 of the family's 1533-position model. The record is from RNAcentral.